This 400-nucleotide ribosomal RNA is filed under the name uncultured bacterium. RNAcentral describes it as "bacterial SSU rRNA". It matches the Rfam family "Bacterial small subunit ribosomal RNA", at positions 64 to 507 of the family's 1533-position model. The record is from RNAcentral.
GAACGAAGCCUUCGGGCUUACUGGCGCACGGGGUGCGUAACACGUGGGAAUCUGCCCUUAGGUACGGAAUAACAGUUAGAAAUGACUGCUAAUACCGUAUGAUGCCGCAAGGCCAAAGAUUUAUCGCCUAGGGAUGAGCCCGCGUCGGAUUAGCUAGUUGGUGGGGUAAAGGCCUACCAAGGCGACGAUCCGUAGCUGGUCUGAGAGGAUGAUCAGCCACACUGGGACUGAGACACGGCCCAGACUCCUACGGGAGGCAGCAGUGGGGAAUAUUGGACAAUGGGCGAAAGCCUGAUCCAGCAAUGCCGCGUGAGUGAAGAAGGCCUUCGGGUUGUAAAGCUCUUUUACCCGGGAAGAUAAUGACUGUACCGGCGAGAAUAAGCCCCGGCGUAACUCCGUG